AGCAGCCGCGGUAAUUCCAGCUCCAAAAGCGUAUAUUAAAGUUGUUGCAGUUAAAAAGCUCGUAGUUGAAUUUCGGGAUCAAUUUGUUGGUCGUACCUUGGUACGUACUGGCAUUAUUGGUUUCUCCCUUCUGAGAAUCCUUGAUGUCAUUAAUUUGGUGUCUUGGGGAAUCAGGACUGUUACUUUGAAAAAAUUAGAGUGUUUAAAGCAGGCUCACGCUUGAAUACAUUAGCAUGGAAUAAUGAAAUAGGACGUUUGAUUCUAUUUUGUUGGUUUCUAGGAUCGACGUAAUGAUUAAUAGGGAUAGUUGGGGGCAUUAGUAUUCAAUUGUCAGAGGUGAAAUUCUUGGAUUUAUUGAAGACUAACUACUGCGAAAGCAUUUGCCAAGGAUGUUUUCAUUAAUCAAGAACGAAAGCUAGGGAUCGAAGACGAUCAGAUACCGUCGUAGUCUUAACCAUAAACUAUAGCCGACUAGGGAUCGGAUGAUGUUAAUUUUUAAUGUACUCAUUCGGCGUCCUUA
Molecule: ribosomal RNA, 520 nt
Filed under: uncultured Glomus
Lineage: Eukaryota; Fungi; Glomeromycota; Glomeromycetes; Glomerales; Glomeraceae
Description: SSU rRNA
Rfam family: Eukaryotic small subunit ribosomal RNA
Source: RNAcentral